Molecule: transfer RNA, 70 nt
Filed under: Rattus norvegicus (Norway rat)
Lineage: Eukaryota; Metazoa; Chordata; Mammalia; Rodentia; Muridae
Rfam family: tRNA
About the family: Transfer RNA (tRNA) molecules are approximately 80 nucleotides in length. Their secondary structure includes four short double-helical elements and three loops (D, anti-codon, and T loops). Further hydrogen bonds mediate the characteristic L-shaped molecular structure. tRNAs have two regions of fundamental functional importance: the anti-codon, which is responsible for specific mRNA codon recognition, and the 3' end, to which the tRNAs corresponding amino acid is attached (by aminoacyl-tRNA synthetases). tRNAs cope with the degeneracy of the genetic code in two manners: having more than one tRNA (with a specific anti-codon) for a particular amino acid; and 'wobble' base-pairing, i.e. permitting non-standard base-pairing at the 3rd anti-codon position.
Source: Rfam by way of RNAcentral
GGGAGAUGGCUCAGUGGUUAAGAGCACUGGUUAUUCUUCCAGAGGUCCUGAGUUCAAUUCCCAGCACCCA